This 255-nucleotide ribosomal RNA is filed under the name uncultured bacterium. Its description in RNAcentral is "partial 16S ribosomal RNA". It matches the Rfam family "Bacterial small subunit ribosomal RNA", at positions 57 to 305 of the family's 1533-position model. The record is from RNAcentral.
GCAAGUCGAACGAGAACGGGUCUUAGCUUGCUAAGAUUGUCAGCUAAGUGGCGCACGGGUGAGUAAUAUAUAGUUAACCUGCCCUAGAGAGAGGGAUAACGUUUGGAAACGGACGCUAAUACCCUAUAUGCCUUUAAAACAAAAGUUUGCAAGGGAAACAUUUAUGGCUCUAGGAUGGGACUGUACGGUAUCAGUUAGUUGGUGAGGUAAUGGCUCACCAAGACAAUGACACCUAACUGGUUUGAGAGGAUGAUC